Molecule: long non-coding RNA, 1599 nt
Organism: Globicephala melas (long-finned pilot whale)
Lineage: Eukaryota; Metazoa; Chordata; Mammalia; Artiodactyla; Delphinidae
Source: RefSeq, a predicted model, not a curated record
GGAGAAUCAGAGAAGGCGUGAAUUCUGAGCAUCUUCACCGGGAGAUCCCUGGUCCCUUGCUCUCCAGACGCGCUAUAAGAUACAUCCUGCAUCUAGCAUGUUGAAUGAUCUCCAAAAUCUCUGAUGCCUGAGCCAUGUCCUAUUGUCCAGAUUAAGACAUUUUUCCUUUAAAGCAGUACAGUAUAAAGGAUAUGGAGCUGUCAUAUUGGCAGUAGUGGGCUGGGAGACCUCUGGCUCCAGCACAAUUCACUACUUGUGGAGAGCCAGGGCUAUUAGCUGCAGUGGUUGCCUUCAAGAAGCCUCUGAAGAUGGAAUAUUCUGGAGACGUUAAGAGGGACACCCUUUCUGGUUGGAGGAAGACCAUUUUUAAGACAAAGGAAUAUGGGUGGCUGCUCUCCUCUGCUAGGACCUACACCAGAGUUAAUAUGAAAGCUUCACAUGUGAGAUAAAUGCACUCAAAGACUCCUCACAAGUAGCUCUUUGGAGCUUCAGAUGUGAAAUGGAUCAUUCCUCAAUCUGUAAUAGACCCUUCUGUGAAGCUCUUCAAUCAAACCUGAGAAUUCAAGGCAUUUUGUAGCAUCCUAAACAGAAGGAUAUUGAAGGGAGCUGAUUCUGCUUUGAUCCUUGUGCUUGUUGUCAAAGCGCUUGGGAUUGAAGAGACUGUUGGCUACAAUUGACUGUGACAAUUAGGAGAUGAUCAGAGCCCUAGAGUGGAGCACUUAAAGGAGAGGUAAUGAGUGAAUGAAUGAAAAGGCAGGGAUUAUUUGCCAUUCUAAGCGGGGAUUGUCAGAACAUUUCUACUUGACUGAAAUUGUUUUGGAAGGGCAAGCUGUGACUUGUCAUUUCGAGCAUAUAGUCAUUUCUGUCUGACUAAUACCAUGGAGACUUCAGAGAAGGUGGCUGAGGCGUCUGGCUUACCUACAGUGAUCAGCUCUACAGAGAACUGAAUGAUGCAGUGGGGACAUAUAUUUGCGAAGCCACAUCUUUUCUUUUGUGGUAGGAUUGUGACUGCAUAUACACGUACUUAUGUUACUGACCUUCCCAAGUUGGUGCCCAUCUAGAUCCUUCUGCCUGGUGUCAAACAAGCCAAUAGAAUGAGACUAAGUUUGGUUCAGAAGCAAAGGAAAGCUUUAUUCUUGGAUCAGAGAAUGGAGAGGCGAGAGCUCCCGCUCUAGAGCCUCAGGCUUUCCCUAUCAGGUCGUGGGUGGGGCUGCUUUACAGGCUUCUCGUCCGCGGGAGGGGAGGGCGUUGAGUUCUCCCGGGGCGCGCAGCUGUGCCGCUCACGCUCCAGAUGGCAGUGCCGGGCGCAGCGUCUCUUCACACGGCCCUCUGCCGCCAUCUUGAAUUGAGUGUUGGGCUCCGCGUCUGCACACAAUCUUGAGCUGAGGCGUCCAGUGCGGCCAUUUUGCUCUAGGAACUCUGGUCUGAAGCGCCGGGCGCAAGGCCUCUGCACACAGCCGCCUGUGAGCAAGUGAAACGACCAAGGACAAAGAAAAAAAAGAAAGGUUAGGCUUUAUUUUAUUAUCCUCUGUUUUUAUUUCUGGGUGACACAUAUGUAUGUAAAUAUGUAUAUAUGACCAAGUUUGAAACUCUUGUAAU